GGGUGAGUAACACGUAUGCAACCUGCCCCUGUCAGGGGGACAACCCGCCGAAAGGCGGGCUAAACCCGCGUACAUGCCACCGGGGCAUCCCGGAGGCAGGAAAGGCUUCGGCCGGACAGGGAUGGGCAUGCGGCGCAUUAGGCAGUAGGCGGGGUAACGGCCCACCUAACCGACGAUGCGUAGGGGUUCUGAGAGGAAGGUCCCCCACACUGGUACUGAGACACGGACCAGACUCCUACGGGAGGCAGCAGUGAGGAAUAUUGGUCAAUGGUCGGGAGACUGAACCAGCCAAGCCGCGUGAGGGAUGAAGGUACAGAGUAUCGUAAACCUCUUUUGUCAGGGAACAAAGGCGGGGACGUGUCCCCGGAUGAGUGUACCUGAAGAAAAAGCAUCGGCUAACUCCGUGCCAGCAGCCGCGGUAAUACGGAGGAUGCGAGCGUUAUCCGGAUUUAUUGGGUUUAAAGGGUGCGCAGGCGGUCUGUUAAGUCAGCGGUCAAAGCCCGGGGCUCAACCCCGGUCCGCCGUUGAAACUGGCAGUCUCGAGUUGGAGAGAAGUAUGCGGAAUGCGCGGUGUAGCGGUGAAAUGCAUAGAUAUCGCGCAGAACUCCGAUUGCGAAGGCAGCAUGCCGGCUCCACACUGACGCUGAGGCACGAAAGCGUGGGUAUCGAACAGGAUUAGAUACCCUGGUAGUCCACGCAGUAA
Molecule: ribosomal RNA, 703 nt
Filed under: uncultured bacterium
Lineage: Bacteria
Description: bacterial SSU rRNA
Rfam family: Bacterial small subunit ribosomal RNA
Source: RNAcentral